UUCCAAACAGUACUGCAGUAUUCGAGA
This 27-nucleotide small RNA is filed under the name Bombyx mori (domestic silkworm). RNAcentral describes it as "ovarian small RNA-37091". Lineage: Eukaryota; Metazoa; Arthropoda; Insecta; Lepidoptera; Bombycidae. The record is from RNAcentral.